UACGAGAGGCCCAAACGUUAUUCGGAAUUAUUGGGCGUAAAGGGCGCGUAGGCGGCUUUUCAAGUGACGGGUGAAAUCCCUCGGCUUAACCGAGGAACUGCCCGUCAGACUGGAAGGCUUGAGACCGGGAGAGGUGAGUGGAAUUCCCAGUGUAGCGGUGAAAUGCGUAGAUAUUGGGAGGAACACCAGUGGCGAAGGCGGCUCACUGGACCGGUACUGACGCUGAGGCGCGAAAGCGUGGGGAGCAAACAGG
RNAcentral lists this ribosomal RNA (253 nucleotides) under uncultured bacterium. RNAcentral describes it as "partial 16S ribosomal RNA". It matches the Rfam family "Bacterial small subunit ribosomal RNA", at positions 524 to 776 of the family's 1533-position model. The record is from RNAcentral.